UAGGGAAUAUUGGUCAAUGGGCGCAAGCCUGAACCAGCCAUGCCGCGUGAGUGACGAAGGCCUUCGGGUCGUAAAACUCUUUUCUGAGGGAAGAACAACCGGGACAGGAAAUGGUCUCGGCCUGACGGUACAUCAGGAAUAAGCAACGGCUAACUCCGUGCCAGCAGCCGCGGUAAUACGGCGGUGGCGAGCGUUGUUCGGAAUAACUGGGAGUAAAGGGAGCGCAGGCGGUUUGGUAAGUCUAAAGUGAAAGCCCGGGGCUUAACCUCG
This 270-nucleotide ribosomal RNA is filed under the name uncultured prokaryote. Its description in RNAcentral is "partial 16S ribosomal RNA". It matches the Rfam family "Bacterial small subunit ribosomal RNA", at positions 355 to 617 of the family's 1533-position model. The record is from RNAcentral.